RNAcentral lists this transfer RNA (59 nucleotides) under Lepidothrix coronata (blue-crowned manakin). It matches the Rfam family "tRNA", at positions 8 to 63 of the family's 71-position model. From Rfam's summary of the family: Transfer RNA (tRNA) molecules are approximately 80 nucleotides in length. Their secondary structure includes four short double-helical elements and three loops (D, anti-codon, and T loops). RNAcentral also lists the same sequence under 1 other name. The record is from Rfam by way of RNAcentral. Lineage: Eukaryota; Metazoa; Chordata; Aves; Passeriformes; Pipridae.
UAGCUCAGUUGGUUAGAGCAUGGUGCUAAUAGCACCGAGGUUGUGGGUUCAAUCCCCAU